RNAcentral lists this ribosomal RNA (331 nucleotides) under uncultured eukaryote. Its description in RNAcentral is "partial 18S ribosomal RNA". It matches the Rfam family "Eukaryotic small subunit ribosomal RNA", at positions 1470 to 1796 of the family's 1831-position model. The record is from RNAcentral.
CCCUUAGAUGUUCUGGGCCGCACGCGCGCUACACUGUUCGACGCAGCGAGUCUUAACCUUGACCGAAAGGUUUGGGUAAUCUUCAGCAAAGUCGAACGUGAUGGGGAUCGAUCAUUGCAAUUAUUGAUCGUGAACGAGGAAUUCCUAGUAAGUGCAAGUCAUCAGCUUGCGCUGAUUACGUCCCUGCCCUUUGUACACACCGCCCGUCGCUACUACCGAUUGAAUGGUUUAGUGAGAUCUCUGGAUUGACGCUGGCUAGGGGGCGACCCUUGGCCAGGCUGUUGAGAAACUGCUCAAACUUGAUCAUUUAGAGGAAGUAAAAGUCGUAACA